UGCGUAGGCGGAUUAAUAAGUCAGUGGUGAAAUCUUUCGGCUCAACCGAGAAACUGCCAUUGAUACUGUUAAUCUGGAGUUCGGUUGAGGUAGGCGGAAUGUGUAAUGUAGCGGUGAAAUGCUUAGAUAUUACACAGAACACCAAUUGCGUAGGCAGCUUACUAGACCGACACUGACGCUGAGGCACGAAAGCGUGGGGAGCGAACAGGAUUAGAUACCCUGGUAGUCC
This 229-nucleotide ribosomal RNA is filed under the name uncultured bacterium. Its description in RNAcentral is "partial 16S ribosomal RNA". It matches the Rfam family "Bacterial small subunit ribosomal RNA", at positions 568 to 796 of the family's 1533-position model. The record is from RNAcentral.